CAGCAGCCGCGGGAAUACGGAGGGUGCAAGCGUUAAUCGGAAUUACUGGGCGUAAAGCGCACGCAGGCGGUCUGACAAGUCAGAUGUGAAAUCCCCGGGCUUAACCUGGGAACUGCAUUUGAAACUGUCAGGCUGGAGUCUUGUAGAGGGGGGUGGAAUUCCAGGUGUAGCGGUGAAAUGCGUAGAGAUCUGGAGGAAUACCGGUGGCGAAGGCGGCCCCCUGGACAAAGACUGACGCUCAGGUGCGAAAGCGUGGGGAGCAAACAGGAUUAGAGACCCGAGUAGUCCCUGUCUCUUAUCC
This 301-nucleotide ribosomal RNA is filed under the name uncultured bacterium. RNAcentral's name for it is "partial 16S ribosomal RNA". It matches the Rfam family "Bacterial small subunit ribosomal RNA", at positions 509 to 809 of the family's 1533-position model. The record is from RNAcentral.